CACUCCUACGGGAGGCAGCAGUGGGGAAUAUUGCACAAUGGGCGCAAGCCUGAUGCAGCCAUGCCGCGUGUAUGAAGAAGGCCUUCGGGUUGUAAAGUACUUUCAGCGGGGAGGAAGGCGAUAAGGUUAAUAACCUUGUCGAUUGACGUUACCCGCAGAAGAAGCACCGGCUAACUCCGUGCCAGCAGCCGCGGUAAUACGGAGGGUGCAAGCGUUAAUCGGAAUUACUGGGCGUAAAGCGCACGCAGGCGGUCUGUCAAGUCGGAUGUGAAAUCCCCGGGCUCAACCUGGGAACUGCAUUCGAAACUGGCAGGCUAGAGUCUUGUAGAGGGGGGUAGAAUUCCAGGUGUAGCGGUGAAAUGCGUAGAGAUCUGGAGGAAUACCGGUGGCGAAGGCGGCCCCCUGGACAAAGACUGACGCUCAGGUGCGAAAGCGUGGGGAGCAAACAGGAUUAGAAACCCUGGUAGUCCC
This 471-nucleotide ribosomal RNA is filed under the name uncultured organism. RNAcentral's name for it is "partial 16S ribosomal RNA". It matches the Rfam family "Bacterial small subunit ribosomal RNA", at positions 334 to 797 of the family's 1533-position model. The record is from RNAcentral.